Felis catus (domestic cat) is the source of this 934-nucleotide long non-coding RNA. RefSeq lists it as uncharacterized. The record is from RefSeq and is a predicted model, not a curated record. Lineage: Eukaryota; Metazoa; Chordata; Mammalia; Carnivora; Felidae. The transcript has 3 exons.
GAAAAUAAGGAGAGAGUAAGGUAGUGCAAGGAGGAGGUGACUCAAAGGGUUAUGGGAAACCCGAGGUGCUUUGUAGAAUGAAGGGAAAGAUGUGCUGUGAGCUCACUCAGUCCCGCCUACCUUCCUAAUGCAAGAAACUAAGAUCAGAAAAGAGAACAAGAGAAGGAGGCUGGAUGGUUUGCCGGAUACCAGAAUAUGAAGAAAUUGAUUCCAAGGACGCCUUCACCCUGCCUCAUGAGGCAGCUUCUCUUUGGCACCACUCCUCCCUUCAGCCACGAUGUCGGAGUUCCUGAGCCCUGCCUUGUGUGCAUGAGGUCUGACCGGUGGGGAGGCGGGUAGAAUGAAUGCUGAACCCCAGGUGUCACGUGGCAUGGCUCGCCGUGCUGCAAGAGUGCGUGGGGGUGGAAAUGCAAUCUCAUUGAAAAAUUAACUGAAACAGCCGCUGGCAAGCUCCACUACAAAGUAACUUCAUGCAUUUCAGUCUUCAAAAUGACUUUUGGACAAUCUUUUGUUUAUCUCCAGCAUUGCUCUUCUCCAUUAGCAGAAAGAUACACGCGCAUUAGCUUGUGUGUAUCUACAGGGACGUCUCCCUCUCUCUCCCCCUACUCUUUCCACCCUCCCCACCCCCAAAAGCUGACGUGUUAAUUAGUGGGGAUAGUGCAUUGUUCAAACUGUCACAAUGUGUGAAGAAGCCAGACUGAAGAUGAGGUAGGCCAUCAGCAUGAAUUCCGUUCUCCAGGAGAGAUGGGAAAUUCUUGCGUGCCGGAGAGAGUAAUCACUUUAUUUCAGUCUCAGCUGCAUACAGGGUUUCGUCGGCUACUGUAAGGUUGAGUAAUCCCAGAUUGCUGGGGCUGCUCUCCCAUGCAUUAAAUGAGAGAAUAUGCAAAUACUAGGUAACCUGUAAGUCCUGAAUAAAGGUUAUCCUUUUAUCCUA